UACGGAGGGUGCAAGCGUUAUCCGGAUUCACUGGGUUUAAAGGGUGCGUAGGUGGGCGAGUAAGUCAGUGGUGAAAUCUCCGGGCUUAACCCGGAAACUGCCAUUGAUACUAUUCGUCUUGAAUGUUGUGGAGGUAAGCGGAAUAUGUCAUGUAGCGGUGAAAUGCUUAGAUAUGACAUAGAACACCGAUAGCGUAGGCAGCUUACUACACAAAUAUUGACACUGAGGCACGAAAGCGUGGGGAGCAAACAGG
RNAcentral lists this ribosomal RNA (253 nucleotides) under uncultured bacterium. RNAcentral describes it as "partial 16S ribosomal RNA". It matches the Rfam family "Bacterial small subunit ribosomal RNA", at positions 524 to 776 of the family's 1533-position model. The record is from RNAcentral.